CUCCUCUACGGCAUUAGAAG
This 20-nucleotide unclassified non-coding RNA is filed under the name Mus musculus (house mouse). RNAcentral describes it as "oocyte_clustered_small_RNA11201". The record is from RNAcentral. Lineage: Eukaryota; Metazoa; Chordata; Mammalia; Rodentia; Muridae.